This 253-nucleotide ribosomal RNA is filed under the name uncultured bacterium. Its description in RNAcentral is "partial 16S ribosomal RNA". It matches the Rfam family "Bacterial small subunit ribosomal RNA", at positions 524 to 776 of the family's 1533-position model. The record is from RNAcentral.
UACGAGGGGGUCUAGCGUUGCUCGGAAUUACUGGGCGUAAAGCGCACGUAGGCGGAUCUUUAAGUCAGGGGUGAAAUCCUGGAGCUCAACUCCAGAACUGCCUUUGAUACUGAGGACCUUGAGUUCGGGAGAGGUGAGUGGAACUGCGAGUGUAGAGGUGAAAUUCGUAGAUAUUCGCAAGAACACCAGUGGCGAAGGCGGCUCACUGGCCCGAUACUGACGCUGAGGUGCGAAAGCGUGGGGAGCAAACAGG